UGGGGUAUCGCCAAGCGGUAAGGCACCAGGUUUUGAUCCUGGCACUCCCUGGUUCGAAUCCAGGUACCCCAUCCA
Molecule: transfer RNA, 75 nt
Filed under: Arsenophonus nasoniae (son-killer infecting Nasonia vitripennis)
Lineage: Bacteria; Pseudomonadati; Pseudomonadota; Gammaproteobacteria; Enterobacterales; Morganellaceae
Description: tRNA-Gln
Rfam family: tRNA
About the family: Transfer RNA (tRNA) molecules are approximately 80 nucleotides in length. Their secondary structure includes four short double-helical elements and three loops (D, anti-codon, and T loops).
Source: RNAcentral